This 266-nucleotide long non-coding RNA is filed under the name Prunus persica (peach). RNAcentral describes it as "long non-coding RNA (PPER_LNC001542)". The record is from RNAcentral. Lineage: Eukaryota; Viridiplantae; Streptophyta; Magnoliopsida; Rosales; Rosaceae.
UUUGAUUCAUGAAAAUUAGUAAACAAUAACAAUGAGAAUCAACUCCAUUCCUUUGCUAAUUCCAUAUGUUUACUAAACAACUUAAUGAGAAUUAUUCUUUCCAUACCGAUUCAAUACUUCCCCGAUUCCUAAAUUCUCUGAUUCCUUACUUUCUCCAUUACUGAUACAUAAACAUGCCCUUAAAGUCAACUAUUUUUAAUAGUGUCAACCCACGUUAAAAUAGUGAACAUAAAAUAUUUAUAAAAUUAAAUAAAACAAAAUUGUCG